Grammomys surdaster is the source of this 367-nucleotide long non-coding RNA. RefSeq lists it as uncharacterized. Lineage: Eukaryota; Metazoa; Chordata; Mammalia; Rodentia; Muridae. The transcript has 2 exons. The record is from RefSeq and is a predicted model, not a curated record.
UUCUCCACUGGAUGGUUUUAGCUCCUUUGUCAAAGAUCAAGUGACCAUAGGUUUGGGCUAUCCAGUAGAAUAUGGCCUACAUUCCAGAAGUCACACUGUCAAAGAAAACUGACUCUUCCUCUACCAGAAACCUUCAACUGUCCCUAUCUCUUCAGUUAGAGGCAUGGACUUAUGAACUCCUUCCAAUCGCAUGAUAAAAUGUUGACUGGACUGGUCUGGUGCAGGUCCUAUGCAGGCAGCCACAGCUGCUGUGAGUUCAUGAGUUGAUUUUUUUAUUUCUUUUCUGAUUCAGAUAAUGAAAACCUGUCAAAACUGAAUAAAAGAUAACUUAAAGGGAAUCACUGGGAAUAAAUUUCAAAUAUUUGCA